CCUACGGGGGGCAGCAGUGAGGAAUAUUGGUCAAUGGGCGCGAGCCUGAACCAGCCAAGUAGCGUGAAGGAUGACUGCCCUACGGGUUGUAAACUUCUUUUAUAAAGGAAUAAAGCGAGGCACGUGUGCCUCUUUGUAUGUACCUUAUGAAUAAGGAUCGGCUAACUCCGUGCCAGCAGCCGCGGUAAUACGGAGGAUCCGAGCGUUAUCCGGAUUUAUUGGGUUUAAAGGGAGCGUAGGCGGGUUGUUAAGUCAGGUGUGAAAGUUUGCGGCUCAACCGUAGAAGUGCAGUUGAUACUGGCAGCCUGGAGUGCAGGUGAGGUAGGCGGAAUUCGUGGUGUAGCGGUGAAAUGCUUAGAUAUCACGAAGAACUCCGAUUGCGAAGGCAGCUUACUAAAGUGCAACUGACGUUGAUGCUCGAAAGUGUGGGUAUCGAACAGGAUUAGAUACCCCGGUAGUC
RNAcentral lists this ribosomal RNA (460 nucleotides) under uncultured bacterium. RNAcentral's name for it is "partial 16S ribosomal RNA". It matches the Rfam family "Bacterial small subunit ribosomal RNA", at positions 338 to 795 of the family's 1533-position model. The record is from RNAcentral.